AACGAACGCUGGCGGCAUGCCUAACACAUGCAAGUCGAACGAGACCUUCGGGUCUAGUGGCGCACGGGUGCGUAACGCGUGGGAACCUGCCCUUAGGUUCGGAAUAACUCCCCGAAAGGGGUGCUAAUACCGGAUAAUGUCUUCGGACCAAAGAUUUAUCGCCUUUGGAUGGGCCCGCGUUGGAUUAGCUAGUUGGUAGGGUAAAAGCCUACCAAGGCGACGAUCCAUAGCUGGUCUGAGAGGAUGAUCAGCCACACUGGGACUGAGACACGGCCCAAACUCCUACGGGAGGCAGCAGUGGGGAAUAUUGGACAAUGGGCGAAAGCCUGAUCCAGCAAUGCCGCGUGAGUGAUGAAGGCCUUAGGGUUGUAAAGCUCUUUUACCCGGGAUGAUAAUGACAGUACCGGGAGAAUAAGCCCCGGCUAACUCCGUG
RNAcentral lists this ribosomal RNA (433 nucleotides) under uncultured bacterium. Its description in RNAcentral is "partial 16S ribosomal RNA". It matches the Rfam family "Bacterial small subunit ribosomal RNA", at positions 29 to 507 of the family's 1533-position model. The record is from RNAcentral.